AACGAACGCUGGCGGCAUGCCUAACACAUGCAAGUCGAACGAGACCUUCGGGUCUAGUGGCGCACGGGUGCGUAACGCGUGGGAACCUGCCCUUAGGUUCGGAAUAACUCCCCGAAAGGGGUGCUAAUACCGGAUAAUGUCUUCGGACCAAAGAUUUAUCGCCUUUGGAUGGGCCCGCGUUGGAUUAGCUAGUUGGUAGGGUAAAAGCCUACCAAGGCGACGAUCCAUAGCUGGUCUGAGAGGAUGAUCAGCCACACUGGGACUGACACACGGCCCAGACUCCGCCGGGGGCCGGCAGGGGGGAAUAUGGGAAAUGGGGCGAAGUCUUGACCCAGCAAUGCCGGUUGAGUGUUGAGGCCUUUGGGGUUGAAAACCUUUUUUCCCCGGGAUUAUAAGCACAGUCCGGGGAAAACAACCUCCGCCUACCCCCGUC
RNAcentral lists this ribosomal RNA (433 nucleotides) under uncultured bacterium. RNAcentral's name for it is "partial 16S ribosomal RNA". It matches the Rfam family "Bacterial small subunit ribosomal RNA", at positions 29 to 507 of the family's 1533-position model. The record is from RNAcentral.